GGCCCCGCGGCCGGGCCCUCACCGAGGCGCGGACACCCCCGCUUCCCGGCCUGGAAAAUAGCCACGAGCUGCGGCAAGACGGCCCCGAAGCUGCAGCUAGAAAAAGAUUUACUCCAUGGUUUGAAAUCUGGCUGGAAGAGAGAGGGAGUCCAGAGCAGCAGUCCCUGCCCAGAGCACCACUUCAUUGGAUUGUGUCAGGUUGAGAGAGGGCUAUGUGGAAAAAAUCUUGGUUCUCCAUUGCCACUGAAGCAGUGCCAAUAACAGAAAAACCUCAGGCUGCAGAGGGGGUACCCAACUGCAAACUUUUACAAGCCCUAAAAACUUACAUUGUACAUGAAUUUUCAAAAACUGAAGAUUAAUUACAUGUUUUGUUUUGCACAAUGCCUGUUUGAAUUAUAUCUACUUCUAAUACUACUCUUUUCAUAAAGUUACUGUUGUUCUCACUAUACAGCACACCAAGAAUCAUUAAAAUCUGAGGAAGUUUGUUGUUUGACAUGGUUAAUCCAUUUAUCUAAGCCCAUGUGAUCACCAGGAGAAAUGGCAACACAUUAGUUCCCUCCUGCCCAAGCAAAAUACAAACACUUUGUAUUACAUGACAUUAUAUCAUAAACUUUGGUAACCAGUAUUUCCCUUCACAAAAACCACACGUUGCCCUCUGCCUUUAGCAGGCACACAUGGGUUCCAACUGCCUGCCAUUAAGUUUCAGCUUUUAAAAUCUGCAAACAAACAUACGGUAGAAGUUAAAAUUAUGCACUGCUGCUAAAUUUGCUGUGUGUACUGCAGGAGGAUAGUCUGAAAAAACCAUG
Molecule: long non-coding RNA, 806 nt
Organism: Haemorhous mexicanus (house finch)
Lineage: Eukaryota; Metazoa; Chordata; Aves; Passeriformes; Fringillidae
Exons: 3
Source: RefSeq, a predicted model, not a curated record